This 899-nucleotide ribosomal RNA is filed under the name uncultured bacterium. Its description in RNAcentral is "bacterial SSU rRNA". It matches the Rfam family "Bacterial small subunit ribosomal RNA", at positions 1 to 848 of the family's 1533-position model. The record is from RNAcentral.
UUCCUGACCGUAAAACGCACUGAGCCAGUCUGUAUCAUGGUUUCUGGCCGUAAAAUGACGGGCAUGCUUAACACGUGCCCGUCGAACGAGAAAGAGAUGAGAAGCUUGCUUUUUAUUGAUUCGAGUGGCAAACGGGUGGAGUAACGCGUAAGCAACCUGCCCUCUAGAUGGGGACAACAGCUGGAAACGGCUGCUAAUACCGAAUACGUUUUUUCUGUCGCAUGGCAGAGGGAAGAAAGGGAGGCUCUUCGGAGCUUUCGCUGGAGGAGGGGCUUGCGUCUGAUUAGCUAGUUGGAGGGGUAACGGCCCACCAAGGCGACGAUCAGUAGCCGGUCUGAGAGGAUGAACGGCCACAUUGGGACUGAGACACGGCCCAGACUCCUACGGGAGGCAGCAGUGGGGAAUCUUCCGCAAUGGACGAAAGUCUGACGGAGCAACGCCGCGUGAACGAUGACGGCCUUCGGGUUGUAAAGUUCUGUUAUACGGGACGAAUGGUACGACGGCCAAUACCCGUCGUAAGUGACGGUACCGUAAGAGAAAGCCACGGCUAACUACGUGCCAGCAGCCGCGGUAAUACGUAGGUGGCAAGCGUUGUCCGGAAUUAUUGGGCGUAAAGGGCGCGCAGGCGGCGUCGUAAGUCGGUCUUAAAAGUGCGGGGCUUAACCCCGUGAGGGGACCGAAACUGCGAUGCUAGAGUAUCGGAGAGGAAAGCGGAAUUCCUAGUGUAGCGGUGAAAUGCGUAGAUAUUAGGAGGAACACCAGUGGCGAAAGCGGCUUUCUGGACGACAACUGACGCUGAGGCGCGAAAGCCAGGGGAGCAAACGGGAUUAGGUGCCCCGGUAGUCCUGGCCGUAAACGAUGGAUACUAGGUGUAGGAGGUAUCGACCCCUUCUGUGCCG